CCCUUAAAUUGAAAUGAUGUCUGCUGAAGUUUUAACAAGUGUUUGAAGUAUUCUGAAACUUCCAAAAUAGCUCUUUUUAGUUUUGAGGUGAGAGCACCACUCUGCUACUGUACUAAAUCUCAUUUCAGUUUUUACUCAUGAUGUCUGCGAGGAGGAGGUUACCUCGGCGAGAACCUGACCCAGAGAGCGGAGCAUCCAUGGUCUUGUCCUCUCGCCGACGCCCUUUGGCUGUGCGAGGGCCCAGGGAAGGAGCGGCGGCGGCGCACGGGGUCGGGGAGGGGCGGCGGUGGCGGUGGCGCACGGGGCCGGGGAGGGGCGGGACAGGGGCGGGGCCGGGGGAUCUGGACGGCGGCGGCGGCGGCGGCGGCGCACGGGGAGCAGCAGUACUGCGGUGGCGGCGCGGGGGCUUCGGCGGCGUGCGGGCGUCGGCGGCGGGAGCAGCGGUGUGGGGCGUCUGGUUGGGCCACGGGUGUUAGGGUUGGCGUCUGGUUGGGCCACUAGUGGAGAUAAGGGGAUUUUAUUUUUUCUGAGAAUAUCCUUUGCCGAGAGCCGCAGAGAAAAACUCUCGGCAAAGAAAAAGACUAGUUAUUUUCUACAAAUACCCUUUGCCGAGAGCCAGCCAGUAAGGCUCUCGGCAAAGAUCCUUUGCCGAGAGCCAGAUGUACAGGCUCUCGGCAAAGAGCUGUUGACUUUUUUUAUUUUUUUUAUUUUAGAGCUGAGUUUUUUUGUGUGUAUUUGUGACACAAUUUCUAAAUACAUUUCAAAAUUUGGUAUCAAUUUGACUUUUUUUUACUAUAUUUAAAUAAUUAAUCUUGUUUCUUUAUAUUUUUCACAUAAUUCAAAUUUGAACUGCAGGUACAUGCAAUAUUGGAACUCGGUGAUUCGAAAAAUGAUAGUCUGGAUAUUUGGUGUAUGUUGAGGCCGUAUCCACAACCAUACAUAAAAUCUCAACCCUCUCGCUAAUGUAACAUGUCGAGGAAUGUGAGGGAAAGUGAUUUUUAAUUAUAUAAAUUCAAAAUGAAGUCCAGAAAUCACGAAACUUGGCAACGAGUUGUGUUAUCGCAUGUUGAGGGUGUGGUAAAAAAUUCAUAAGGUUCCGAGCAAGUUGGGACACCGGAUGUCUAAAACCCAUACUUCUCCACAUGUGAUCAAUUGUGAUCAAAUAUGGAGAAGUUUGGGUUUUAGACAUCCGGAGUUGCAACUUACUUGAAACCUUAUGAUUUUUUUACCACAGCGUCGACAUACAAUAAUACGGCAUGUCGCCAAGUUUUGUGAUUUUUGGAGUUCAUUUGGAUUUUUUAUAAUUAAAAAUCACAUCUACAACACAUGGAUGGUCAUGUUUCGUAUACAAGACAUUCAAACUUUUGGGUGACUUUAUGGAUACAGCCUCAAAAUACACUCUCGAACAUGAAUAUCAUUUUUUGAAUGGCUAUAUUUUAUUAUUUAAUACACCUCUAGUUCAAAUUGACUUUUUCAAGAAAAAUGCAAGGAAAAUAAAUUAAUUGAUGAAAUAUAGCAAAAUAUCAUAAAAAUCUCUAAACUUUGAACAUAUGCUUGUAUACAAUAUGCAAGGGCUACAGAAAAAGUUUGGGUCCAAAAUUCAAAAAAAAAAUUCCCUCUUUGCCGAGGGCCAAUUUUGGCUCUCGGCAAAGAAGCUCUUUGCCGAGGGUCAGUUAUGGCUCUCGGCAAAGGAGCUCUUUGCCGAGAGCCAGAGUGGCAUGCGCUCGGCAAAGGUUGCUAGUCUGGGUCCAGCUUUAAGCAUGUGAGAUUUGCCACCCUCCUCUUUUCCGAGAGCCUAACAGGGUGGCUCUCGGCAAAGGCGACGACUACGGGAGCCGUUCACGGCGCGGCACCUUUGCCGAGAGCCUUCCUUUGCCGAGAGUCGUACUUUCGGCAAAGCUGGCCUUUGCCGAGUGCUCGGCUUUGCCGAGAGCUUAGCCGUCGGCAAAGGGUCUUUGCCUAGAGUCCGUCCUGGCUCUCGGCAAAGGAUGCUUUGCCGAGGGUCUGACUCUCGGCAAAGCUGGACCCUCGGCAAAGCUUCGGUUUCCCGUAGUGACGCCUCGCGCUCACUGCCUGCUUCCCUCCCCUCCGCGUCUUCAGUCUUGCCCGGUCGCCCCCUGCUCCGUCGUGUCGUGCCGCCUGGCAAACGCCCCUGGCCCCCUCACCUCCCUGUCUCGCUUGACCAUGGAUGGGGGUGUAGAUGCCGUGGAUGGGGUGUACAUCGUGAAGUCCGAUCCGCUGCAGCAGCCGCUGGCAAGAGCAGAGCAGCUCCCAUCUCUCCCUCUGGAGAUGGAGUGAUGGACAUGUGUUAGGUUUGGUCCGUGCUUGCAAUAUGUGUUUUCUUGCUGGCAAGUGUGUUCUCUAACCCAUUCUUCAAAUCUCUUUAGUUGCUUACUUACAGGUGUUGUUGCUCUCCUUGCUUAAGGUACAUGACCUCCCCUUCCUGCCCCUAUCUUUGAUUUGGCAUCUUCAAUGUCAUAUAUUGCUUAAUUGUGCAGCUAUAACUAAAAUAUAAAGUUUUCGAAACCUACAAUAUUAAGUUUAUGUGGCCCUAUGGUUUGGCACAGAUGUUCAAAGAUUUUCAAUUAUUCCAAUCAUUUUAGGUUCAACAUAUACUUGUCUGUUUCCAAAUUGUUUAGGCACCACUGGAAAGUGGAAGAUGCUUCAGCAAGCAGCUUUGGUCCAAGAACUCAGGUACUGUAUGUUCUCCAUUGCACAAGACUUACAGUUCAAUCAGAUUUGUAGUGAACCAAAUUUUCCAUGAGAUUCAUAAGCAUCAGUGUUUAAUUUAGUGAGUAGUGUCAUCUUGAAAAUUAUAAAGCGUAGAGAUCCCAUGCUAUACUUCUGGGGAACAAUAGUGGCAAUACAUAAUGAAAAUUCAACACCAGGCUUAGAGAAUUAUUGCAACAAGUGGAGUUGUGCUAUUUUUUAAACAAAGAGAUUAGCACAUGUGCAACUGUGAGUUAUUCUAAAUAAAUUCCUAGCUGCAUGGGUUUACAUACUUCCUUUUGCCCUUGUCCCAUUUGUACAAUGUUAAUGCCUUCAUGCUUUGAAUAUUUCAUCUUUUUCUGAUCUAAAAUAAUGGGUAUGAUUGAUUACAUUUGGACUUGAGUUGGAUGCAUCACCAGAUUCACUCUUCACUUGUAGCUAUUUUUUUCUUUGUUUAGGGAAUGGAUAUGGCACUUUCAAAGCUUAAUAGUGGUGGAUGGGUUCGUAUAUAUUUUGUGAAGGAAGCUGUUGAACGAAAGAAGGGAAAAUCAUUGCUCCUGCCAGAGGUGUUGCAAGGUUAGGAAAUUAUUUUCCUCUUAUACUGUCAUUUUUCUAAAGAAAUACUAGACAAUAGAUCGCCAUCCGUUUGUUUCUGUUUGUAUAGCAAAACCUACACUCUGCUUAUACAUAUGCGUUAUAGACUUGUGUAUCAAUUCUGAGUUUUAGUCAGUUUUAUUGCCUCUUGUUUUACCAGAUGCUGGCAGCACUCCAUUUGUAAUACCCUUUGCCAAUACUGGGAUGCUGGAUAUAAUGUCUCUUGGAAAACACAUCCCCCGAGGAGGAAAAAGCAGGGCUAGAGCUAGGCCACCUUGUUGGGGUCAGCUGACUCCAAUGGAAUUUACGCUAGGCCAUUUUGCUGUAAUUUUAAAGAGUCCAUUGAUUCUUUCGGCUAGCUUCACCCCAGAAAAGGGGUGUCUGCUCCUAACCUAUACGACUCAUCAAAUUCUGUGAACAUAUUUGCACAACUCUAAACUAUUUUAUUGAUUUCUAGGUGAUUUUGGUUGUGGGUGAUGACAACAAACAUAUCUCUAGAGGGAUCUUGUAUGACAGAGCAAGACAAAGAACUGGGCAAAGAUUGCAAUCAAGGUCAAAGUUCAUAGACCGACUGCAGAGCAGCAGUCUGAACUCCAAAACCACAAUGCGUGAUGAUGGAUACCAGCUGUGGCAGUUGGUUGAUCGGGAAGGAUUUGAUGUAGGGAGUUUAUCAUACUAUCAUUGUAGAUUUUUUUUAGAGUUACUGUCACUAUAAAAUUGAUGUCGUUACAUGGGAGGGGUUCUGAACAACCUAUUCAUUUUUGCUCCAUCUCUAGCAUUAUUGUACCCUAUAAUAUUUGCUUAUAUGAUAUAAAAACUGAAGGCAAAACGUGAUUUACAUGGACUUCAGAAAUUUUGACAUGCCUCUUUGCCUUUUUUUUUGGUUUAUCCUGAAACCGUAUCCACUGAAAAUUUGACAUGGGGUUCUGAACAAGCUGUUCAUUUUUGCUCCAUCUCUGGCAUUAUUGUUCCACUUUUUCUUAUUCAAAUUUUACUGCACUAGGUUUUGUAGCAAUAUGUUGUUCCUCGAUGACAAUGGAUGAUCUUUGUACUUUUUUUUCCAUCAUGUUUAUGACUUUUGUACCUGGCGGAGUGUUGCAAGAGUCUGGAAUUGAAGUGUAUGCUUAGUGUCAGGGAACCCACUAACCAAUGAAAUCAGGUGAAGUGCCGCAAUUACACAAAAAAUAGCGCUCACAGGUUAAUACAAGUUUAAAUUUAAAAUUAUUAUAGCAUUAGUUUGUUCCCGUUGCAACGCACGAGCAUGGUCCUAGUACAACUAAAAAUUAUGGAAAGGACUCAUCUACCACAACCAUGGUGAAGCCACAACUCCACCCCUUUUAGCUAUGAUAGGCUAUCUCAUCAACCUAGGCCCCACUCACCCAUACAUGCAAAAUUGUUUUAGCGAAUUUAAAAAAGUCAUAACUUUUAAACUGAAGAUAUAAAUUAAAUUCCGAUUGCAAAAUUGAAUUUCUCAUAACAAAUCCUUCAAAACAAGAUGACACAUGGAUAUAUUUAGAUAAAAUUUUAUUAAUGAAUAUUUAUCUCUACAACUAAAAAUUGUCCCUUUUAGCUAUGAUAGGCUAUCUCAUCAACCUAGACCCCACUCACCCAUACAUGCAAAAUUGUUUUAACGAAUUUAAAAAAGUCAUAACUUUUAAACCGAAGAUAUAAAUUAAAUUCCGAUUGCAAAAUUGAAUUUCUCAUAACAAAUCCUUCAAAACAAGAUCACACAUGGAUAUAUUUAGAUAAAAUUUUAUUAAUGAAUAUAUAUCUCUACAACUAAAAAUUAUGGAAAGGACUCAUCUACCACACUCAUGGUGAAGCCACAAGUUCCAUCCCUUUUAACCAUGAUAGGCUAUCCCAUCAACCUAGUCCCCACUCACCCAUGCAUGCAAAAUUAUUUUAGCGAAUUUAAAAAAGUCAUAACUUUUAAACCGAAGAUAUAAAUUAAAUUUCAAUUGCACCAUUAAAUUUCUCGUAACAAAUCCUUCAAAACAAGAUCACACAUGGAUAUAUUUAGAUAAAAUUUUAUUAAUGAAUAUAUAUCUCUAUCUACUACUAAAAAUUAUGGAAAGAACCCAUCUACCACACUCAUGGUAAAGCCACAACUUCCAUCCCUUUUAGCCAUGAUAGGCUAUCCCAUCAACCUAGGCUCCACUCACCCAUGCAUGCAAAAUUAUUUUAGCGAAUUUAAAAAAGUCAUAACUUUUAAACCGAAGAUAUAAAUUAAAUUUCAAUUGCACCAUUAAAUUUCUCAUAACAAAUCCUUCAAAACAAGAUCACACAUGGAUAUAUUUAGAUAAAAUUUUAUUAAUAAAUAUUUAUCUUAUAAAGAUAAAAUAUUUUCUUUUAUUAAGUAGAAACAAUAUUCUAGGUUUAACAGACAAUGUUCUGUCUUUGUAAAAAAUGUUAUCGAUUUAGAAGAAUAGUAUUUUGGUUUUUGGUUUAUGAAAUUGAUAUUACAAUAUACAUAAAAAUACAUAAAUACAUGACAUAGAUAAAAAUAAAAAAACUAGAGUAAAAAGCAUAAGAAAAAAAAACACAAAAUGGAGAAAAAUUUCAGAUAAUGUCAAAGGGUUACUUUUCAAAUAUCGUAAAUAUAUUUAUAGAACAUUAACAUCACUAAAUACAUCAUAGAACAUCACAUCUAUUAUAGAUUACAUGUAUACUAAGUGAACACCGUAAAAAACAUCAUAGAAAAUCACAUAUAUACUACGUAAACAUGACAUAACACAACAUAGAACACUAAAUAUAUACUACAUAAAUAUCACAUAUAUAUAGAAAAUAAAAAUAAAAAAUAAAAUUACUAAGAAAAAAUAUAAAAAAUAUAAUUAACAAAUGAUAAAAAGUGCAUAGAGCAAAUAAAAUUUAUGAAUAAUUUAAAUAAGAAUAAAAAUAAGAUUAAAAAAAAUAAAAUAUAAAAUAAGAAUAAAGAAACAUAGAAAAUCUGAAAAGAAAAAAGAAAAACAAAUAGAAGCAAGGAAGAACAAAAAAAAACCAAAAGAAAAAAUAAAAUAAAAGAAAAAAUAAAAUAAAAGAAAAAUAAAAUAAAAGAAAAAUAAAAUAAAAGUAAAAUUUAAAACAAGAAAAGAAUAAGGAGAGGAUAGAAAAUAAAAUAAAAUCGAAAACAAAAACAGAAAAAAAUGAAAAAGAAAGAAUAUAGACAGAAAAAUAAAAUAACAAUGAAGAAACAUAGAGAAGCCGUAACAACAUACGGGCAUUAACCUAGUAUAUAUAUAUAUAUAACUAUACAACAACGCUAUUCUACACCCUAGGUGUAGAAUAUUAUUCUACACUUAGGGUGUAUAAUAGCACUUGUAUAUAUACACUUAGGGUGUAUAUAUAUAUGUGUGCUAGGUGUAGAAUAUUAUUCUACACCAAACUCUUAUACUGAGCAAAAUUCAGUAUCGUUCAGUAUUUGUGUUUCAGUAUUUUGUGGUCCUGAGUGUUGGACAAGUUGAUACUGAACACUCUCCAGUACUGCUCAGUAUUUUUUCUACUCAGUUUUGACUUGCACUGUAGAAUAAUAUUCUACACAUUAUAUAUAUAUAUAUAUAUAUAUAUAUAUAUAUAUAUAUAUAUAUAUAUAUAUAUAUAUAUAUAUAAAAGAGCUUAGGACUCGGAAGCCCCAGCCCAAACCUAUGUUUCACCAAACCAGGUUUCAGUCCACUGGCCUGCUAGCCCAUCCACCGACCCACCAGACCCACUUUCCCAGGCCUAUAUAUUCUCCAAAACCCUAAUCCCACCCAUCCACCCUGGCCGCCACCCCUGCCAGCCGCCGCAUCCUCGUCGUCGGGCUCCGACCAGCUGCGAUCUCCGUUGUUGGUUUUAUUAUACGGGAGAUUCGGGGGUCAGGUCCCAGGGGGAAAAUUCGUAAGCUGUUUGUACCUUUCCUCUCUCUUUUAACUUGGGGCAGAUUUGUUCUCUGAUUCGUUCAUUCUACCCGACCGAUCCUCCCGCCUCUAUGCAGGUGGAGACUGGAGAAUGAUGCUGAUGAACUUCAGGACUGGAUCUCGUACUACCUCGGGUCCUCGCUGCUGUCUGCCAGGCCGUUCGCGCUCUCCCCCGGCGCCGAUGACACCGUUGCUUCCAAGGGUGAUGCUCAUGGUGCGCUCCUUUUUUUUUUCCUGGUGAUUGUUGUUUUUGUUUUCAACAACGGUGUUGCCCAUGGUUAUAAACUUAGAAUCUUCGUUUUUAAUGGACUGUGGAUCCGGACGGUGUGAUGGUGGAUCCGGACUGUGGAUCCUGCUUCGAGCCAUUAACGGCACGGUGACCAGCCUAUGCCUUGUUUAGUUCACAAAUUUUUUUUUUUGGCUUUAACUAAUAUAACACUUUCAUUUGUAUUUAACAAUUAUUAUCCAAUCAUAUACUAAAUAGGUGGCUUUAGCUCAUGUUGGAAAUAUGUUUUUGCGCACGCUAAAAACAUGUUUCUACGCUAUUCUACAUGCCUUUCAUGCCACUAUAAGGUUUCUAUACAUGCUAAAACAUGUUUCUAUAUGUUAUGAAAACACAUGUUUCUAUGCUCAACAUUUCCACUUCUGUGAUUUAUUUUCACAUUUCUUCUAUGCAUGUUGUAUGAUUAUCCUCAGUCUUUUCUAUGCGUAUACUCAAAACUUUCUCUGAUUUGUUACUACUAUUUUUAUACAUUGUUUGGAGCAUAUUUUAUACAUUGUUGGUUGGGUGCUAAGAUUUUUUUGCAUGCUGAUCCAAAGGAAAGUAAUAGUUUUUAUAUUUGCAUGUAUAGAUUUAGAUGCAUGGUGAAACUGUGAUUAUGCUUAGUUGUAUUUGUUUCCACCCUAAUUGAUUUCAAAUUCUAAAUUUUGAAGAAAUCUGUAUACAUUGUGGAGCACUCUUUUAUGCAUUAUUAGAACAAUUCGACAUAUAUUGUUUGAAUAAUUAUCUCUAUGUACCUACGCAGCCUUGGAUUUUUGGUUCAGAUGCAUUGUGGAGCACUUUUCUAUGCACUGUUAGAAUAAUUAUAUGCGCACAAUUCUUCUAUGCUUAGUUGUAUGGGGUUUAUCUAAUUUUUGGUUGUAGCCUUGGAUGAAUAGGUGGUUUGCAUGAAAUGAAAAAGCUAUCAACGCAAGUAAGCAGGAUUUCUAUGCUUUGAUUUUGAUUUUUAUGCAUUUCUUUGACAUUAUGUGUAAUGAAUAAGUUUUUGUGCAAUUGACUUUGGAUCUUUAUGCUUCGUGGGUUCUAUGUUUGAUGAAUUAAGAUUUUACACAUUUAGAACCAUUCAGGUGGCAAGUCCACUGCAUGAUGCAGUCCACGGUCGCCGUGCUGGUAUGGGGCAGCGGUGGCGGUUGGUGGCGUGUAGUUCACAGCGGCGGUGCUAGUGCGAAUCAGCGGUGGUGGUCGGUUGGAUGGAAGAUAGCAAAGGAGCAGCGCGACGCAGCCAAGGAUUUUUGUAUUUUUAUUUGUUGAAGUUGGUGUUCUUAUGCUUGUGUGCAUAAGUUUCUAUAUACACAAUGGAGCACUUCUAUGUAUUUUUGUAUUCUUAAUGCUUGUGAGCAUAAGUUUCUAUACAUUGUUGAAGUAGGUCUAUGUUGUUUUUAUGUGACAAUAUUCUUAUUCACCAAACCACUAAUUUCUAUGCAACGUUGGCACCAAAAACUUUUCUAUGUAUUUUGAUUAUUGAUUCUAUGCAUCUAAACGUCAUCACGUGCCAUGAUUCAAAUUUUAAAUUUAUAAUUUUUUUCAGAAAUAUUCAAAGUGGAUCUUGAAUCGUGUAUAAAAAUGUCAGGAGUUCAAUGGUCAAAAUUAUUUUAAAAUUGGAAGCUCCAUCAAGGAAUUUUUAUGGAAAAAUAGAAGAGAAUAUAAUGGAAGAUGCAUGCAUACAUGUAUCAGCGCGUGUCAGCAUGUGUCAGCUGUAGUUAGGUGGAACAUGUGGAACGUCUAACUCGCAGAAAGGUUUUUACGCAGUAAUGAAUUAGUUUUAAUUCAUCCAUCGACUAAUUUCUAGGAGUAUUAAUAGGAGUAGUAAAUACAUGAGAGGGUUGCCGUGGAGCCAGUAGCGUAGCUGGCAGGGCUACACCCGUUUGGGCCCCAACCGACUGUAGGAACGCUAUCAUUUCUGCCAUCUGUUGCUGAUGGGCAAGCUGGUCGGCCUCUCGCUGGCGCUCUUGAGCCUCCAACCGCUCAGCCAUUCUUUGCUGCUCGGCCCUUGAUGCUUCGAGCUCAGCCUACAACAUUGGAAAUCAAAUGUUAGAGUAAUGCAAAGGUAACAAAAGCAACGCGAAGUAGAACUAUUGAAAAAUGAUGAACAACCUGGAGUGCGUCGACCCGGUGCUGUGCAGGCUCCGGCCGUGGGCGUAUGGGCGGGCGGCUUCUCACGCUCGUGGUCGAUGCUCGGAUCUUGGAGAGGGUGGGAGUAGUCGACCUGUCGAUGACGCUGUUGCCAAUCCAGUAGCGCCCAUGCUUCUUGCCGCCUCCUAUCCUCAUGACAAGGUCUCCAUCAAUGUCAUCGGUGGAUGGAUCGUAGUCCGGGCCAUGGACCUGCCUUGCCGCCUGCGCGUAGGCGGUGACCUUGUCGUAGACGCCCGCGUUGGUGUACGCCUCGGGCGGGUCGUCCACGCUGAAGGAGACGUCAGACGACGUCGGGCCCUUGUGGGACAUGCCAUACGCGGCGAACAAAGAGCAAGGCUGUCCCCCGUGUGCCACCGACUGCGAGAAAGAUAGCAACAGGGUUACAAAUGAGGCAUAAUUGAAUGAAUGGAAACAUUACCACGUACCCAUGCUUGUGCGUAUCCAGAGAGGCUGCGGUUCCCCUGAUGGUGUGCUACACCAGGCAUCCGUCGACGCCUUUCCUAGGCCGCCCUGUGCGCCUCACGAAACACGGGGUCCAGCCACUUGUCCACCAUCGCCUCCCAGGCGUCAGGACAGUUAGCGCACCACCAGGCCCUCAUCUUCACAUCAAUUAUGUUACAUAUAAGAAUAUGAAACAAUGCACUGAUAAAAGGCUAAGGAAUCAAUAUGAGAAUCUACCUCUUCAUCCAUGUACUGCUCACGGGUCAAAUCUAUUUCCCUUGCCUCCGCCUUGGUCUUCCUCUGUCCAAGCCUCGUCGCAUAGUAGUUGACGACGGUCUGGACGCGCACGUUGUAGUGCAUCUCACUGACGCGCGUCCUUGCAGACGCGGCAACCACGGUGUCGGCAUAGUCCUGGUCAAUUCCAUCCUCGAGUUUGAAGUGGCGCUGCAUAUAGACACGACAUUAUUGCAAUGAUAAGCCCUUCGAAACGAUCAACUCUUUCCUCAGGCACGAGAGCCUCUAUCUGAUCAUAAACCUCAGCACCAGUGAACAUCUGCGGUUGAGGAUCUGUCACUAUGACACCUUUCCUAAAGUUCUUAAUGUCAUGCUGAAAUGGAUGGUCAAUAGGGAGGAAUUGACGGUGUUGGUCAAAAGACGAAUACUUGCCACCCUUGUUGAGCCAGAUGAACUUCACACGAUCCUUGCAUAAUGGACAUGGGAAUUUACUGUGAACACACCAGCCACAGAAUAUACUGUACGCUAGGAAGUCAUGUAUGGAGUACUGGUACUAAACAUGCAUUUUGAAGGGCUUCUGUGUAGCCCGAUCAUAUGUCCAUACCCCUUCGUUCCAAGCACUAAUUAAUUCAUCAAUCACAGGCUCUAUGAACACACCCAUAUGUUUCCCUGGGUGCCCAAGAAUUAUCAACGACAAGAAUAUGUGCUCACGUCGGAAGGCGACACCGGGGGGAGAUUGAGUGGGAUAACGAACACAGGCCAACAUGAGUAUGGGGCAGCCAUCAAUCCAUAGGGAUUGAACCCAUCUGUUGCCAGCGCAACACGCACAUUACGAGCCUCUUCUGCUUUGUCAUGGUGAAUUUUAUCAAAGUGGACCCAUGCUUCACCAUCAGCCGGAUGCACCAGCUUAUCAGGAUUGUAUCAUUUGCCCUCUUUAUGCCACGUCAUCUGUUUCGCAUAUGUCUCACUUAUGUAUAGCCGUUGGAUCCUCGGAACGAACGGGAGGUGGUGUAGGACUUUGACGGGGAUCGCAAGUUGUUUCUUCUAGCCAUCCCCAGAGUCAGCCUCUAGAUAUCUGGAGGAGUUGCACUUUGGACAGUAAUUUGCAUCCUUGUAAUCUUUCCUAAAUAGAACACAAUUUUUGGGACAGACAUGUAUCUGCUCGUAGGGCAUCUUAAGUCCAGCAAGGAGUUUCUGGCACUCGUACAAGUUCUUUGGAAGAACGUGGUCAGUUGGCAGCAGGCUACCAACCACAGUCAGCAUUACAUUGAAGAAUUCUCGACUCAUGUUAGCAUCGGACUUAAACGCCAUCAAGCGUCCGAUGGCAUCGAGCUGACAAAUGUCAGUUUGACCGUGAAGAGGUUUCUGUACUGAAGACAACAUGUUGUAGAACGCCUUUGCACAUUCCUCGGUCUCCUCAUCUACACGUCCAUCAAAGAACUGUGCCUGCUGAUAGUCAUCUAACAUGUCUGCGACCCCGGCAUCAUCAUCAACAUGCUCGAUGCGUGGUCUCACGACCUCCUCUCUUGUCCGAUGGGCUUCACCAUGGUAGACCCACCGAGUAUAGUUCGGCAUAAAUCCAUUCUUCAGAAGGUGUUGACCCAUUCUUAUCUUGUCUUGCCAUCUCCUAUUUGCACAUUUCAUGCAGGGACACAACACUCUAUUGCUUCCUUUCGUAGCCGGUCCAAAUGCACUAUCCAAAAAAGCCUCAGUCUUCGUGAACCAUUCAUUGGUGAAAUCAGUCUGACUUCUACGGCCCGUGUACAUCCACUGACGAUCAUCCAUCCUCUAACAUAUAUAGCGAGGAGUAAUGUGACUUGCAGAUAAAAGGUGUACCUAACAUCUAAUAGGAUAGGAUAGGUCCUAAUCCCACCCGCGUAUGCGUAGUAGGGUUAGUUUCCAUAGUCUCCUCCGAUCCGAGACAGAAUUUCGGCAGCACCUCCCCGUUGUUCUCCAGAUACACGUCCUGGCAUGGAGAGUGUGUAUCCGAAGAACAACGUCGAGGUGAUGCCGAAACUCUAUCUCGGAUAUGAGCAAACCAUGGAAACUAACCCUACUACGCAUACGCGGGCUGUCCAAAGAACGUGGACAAUCCGAAACUGAUACGGCCAGAGAGAUAUGCAAUAAUCUGCAUACCUCCAACCGUACCUAUUUCGGACGGGAGACGCCUAACUACGUCACGUGAUCUAUGAGAAGAAACCCUAAACCCUAAAAAAGAAUGCAGGAAAAGUAGAAGAUGCAGGACGAGAGGGUAUACCUAGUGCGAAGGUGUAGCAGAGACACUCCGAGUCCGCUCCUAUGCACAAACCUCUCUGCAAAAUGAAACACCACGUUUAAGGUCAAAUUUUCAGCAGCACCUCCCCUGCGUGGAGAGGAACCCAAAUCCUGCAAAAGCAACGGCACGAUGGCCGGUAACCACAAUUCAUAUCAACCGAAAAGGCACGAAGGCCGACACCAUCCACCAUCAUGAACACACUAGCACCACAUGUAUAUCAAGUCACUACUAACUACUAACUACUAUUAACUAAUAAGACUAAUAACUACUAUAACUACUAACUACUAACUACUAUUAACUAAUGAAACUAAUAACUACUAUAACUACUAACUACUAUAACACUACUACUAACACUACACACACUAGUACUAACACUACUGACCAUUACCUUGGUGGCGGUGGAGUUGGCCAACGCGGUGCUCCGGCGACGACACGGAUGGCCGCCGAUGACGAACAGCUCCGCCGGUGGAGUCCCCUCCUCUCUCUUCCUCCUCCUCCCUCCUUCCUCUGCCUGCUCCUCCCUUCCUCUUCCUCUUCUGUCUCCUCCCUCUCGGGUGUAAAUGCCGUGGAGAUGUUUAGGUUUCUGAGGGUCCGACGUGACGCCGUGCACGAAACUUUCUCAAAAUUUUACCACAAGCUACACAUGAGAUGUGAUGACACCUCAUAAAGUUUUGCGAUUUUUUGAACUCGUUUGGAUUUUCUAUAAUUUAAAACAUAUUCUACACUGUCUCAAAAGUCAGGGUUCGCGAAUGAAACAUGCGAGAGCUAGGGUGUUUUCGUGCACACGGCCUUGAGUUAGCGUAAGUACCAUGAAUAUCGACAUUUCGUGCAUAGAAACACGUGAUUUCAUGCACUUCAAGUUCUUACCAAUAUUUUUCAACAAACUCACUUAAACAAAAAAAAGCAAGAAAUAUAGCAAAAUGUCUACAAACUAAUCCAUACUUUGACAUGUUGUCACAGUAAGUGUAAGAAGGUCAGAGAAAAAGUUUGGUAGAUAAAAACAAAAAAAAAGGAAGUUUGCCGAGAGCUGAGCCCUGGCUCUCGGCAAAGACACAAGUUUACCGAGAGCUUAACGUUGCUCUCGGCAAAGGGAACGGUGUUAACCCCGUCAAGCUCUUUGCCGAGAGCUCUAACUAGGCUCUCGGCAAAGCGUCCACUAUGCCGAGCGUCUGCCUAUACCGAGCGUCUGCCUAUGCCGAGAGUUAAGCUCUCGGCAAAGGCCUAUUUGCCGAGAGUGACGGUUGGCAAAUUUCGUGUUUACCGAGAGCCCGAUAGAAUGCUCUCGGCAAACUUCAAAGCUCUAGGCAAAUCUAGUGUUUCCGUAGUGAAAGAAGCUGGCUUUGGCUAAACAGAUCGAGUGUCCAACUACUUGGCAGUCUGUACAGCACACCUGCUGUACGUACCAACUCCACACAGGUUUAUAGAUUGGCUAAGCAUGCCACGUGCCGUGAUUCCUUUCCGGGAUAUAAUAGAGAAAAAACUAGCGCGUUAGGCAAGCUCGAGAGGCCCGUUAGAGAUGAGACAUCUCCAUGUAUUAUUCAAACACUUAUGGUGCAGUCUUCAUCGCAUGCUGCGCGCAGUUGCAGCUCCACAUCUUUGUGGAAAAGAUACCGUGUGUUUUAUGUCUUACCAGCAGUCUGAUUAGCAAGCUGUCACAGACAUACUCCUUCAGACUUUACUUUCUCUUUUCCUUAUUAGGCCCAGUAAGUCGGCAUGUGGGCCGCUUGGUUGUAUCGGGCUUAAAGCCCAAGACCAGUGAACUAUAUGACAUUGCUGUGUGGGUGGUUGGGCGGACAGCAACAAUAACAAACCAAAUUCCACUUCUCUUCUUCCUCACGAGCUCUCCCUGCUUGAGGCGGCUCUGCCGUGCUCCUGGCCGUGCGCGUACGCCGGCAACACCUCUCCCUCCUUUCCGGCCGAGAUCGCCACAUCUGGUAUCAAAGCCAAGUUACCUUCCCACCGAUCCAAGUCGCUAUCACCGCCAGACCCACCUCCGCCGCCAUCACCGCCAGACCCACCUCCGCCGCCCUCACCGCCACAUCCACCUCCGCCGCCG
This 14615-nucleotide long non-coding RNA is filed under the name Sorghum bicolor (sorghum). RNAcentral describes it as "long non-coding RNA (SBIC_LNC007784)". Lineage: Eukaryota; Viridiplantae; Streptophyta; Magnoliopsida; Poales; Poaceae. The record is from RNAcentral.